AUUGAACGUUGGCGGCAUGCCUUACACAUGCAAGUCGAACGGCAGCACGGGGGCAACCCUGGUGGCGAGUGGCGAACGGGUGAGUAAUACAUCGGAACGUGCCCAGUAGUGGGGGAUAGCCCGGCGAAAGCCGGAUUAAUACCGCAUAAGACCUACGGGUGAAAGCGGGGGAUCGCAAGACCUCGCGCUAGUGGAGCGGCCGAUGUCAGAUUAGGUUGUUGGUGGGGUAAAGCCUACCAAGCCGACGAUCUGUAGCUGGUCUGAGAGGACGACCAGCCACACUGGGACUGAGACACGGCCCAGACUCCUACGGGAGGCAGCAGUGGGGAAUUUGGACAAUGGGCGCAAGCCUGAUCCAGCCAUGCCGCGUGCGGGAAGAAGGCCU
RNAcentral lists this ribosomal RNA (385 nucleotides) under uncultured bacterium. RNAcentral's name for it is "bacterial SSU rRNA". It matches the Rfam family "Bacterial small subunit ribosomal RNA", at positions 29 to 417 of the family's 1533-position model. The record is from RNAcentral.